GAUGAACGCUAGCUACAGGCUUAACACAUGCAAGUCGAGGGGCAGCAUGGUCUUAGCUUGCUAAGGCCGAUGGCGACCGGCGCACGGGUGAGUAACACGUAUCCAACCUGCCGUCUACUCUUGGACAGCCUACUGAAAGGAAGAUUAAUACAAGAUUGCAUCAUGAGUCCGCAUGUUCACAUGAUUAAAGGUAUUCCGGUAGACGAUGGGGAUGCGUUCCAUUAGAUAGUAGGCGGGGUAACGGCCCACCUAGUCUUCGAUGGAUAGGGGUUCUGAGAGGAAGGUCCCCCACAUUGGAACGGAGACACGGUCGAAACUCCUACGGGAGGCAGGAGUGAGGGAUAUUGGUCAAUGGGAGAGAGCCUGAAACAGCCAAGUAGCGUGAAGGAUGACUGCCCUAUGGGUUGUAAACUUCUUUUAUAAAAGAAUAAAGUCGGGUAUGAAUACCCGUUUGCAUGUACUUUAUGAAUAAGGAUCGGCUAACUCCGUG
This 490-nucleotide ribosomal RNA is filed under the name uncultured bacterium. RNAcentral's name for it is "partial 16S ribosomal RNA". It matches the Rfam family "Bacterial small subunit ribosomal RNA", at positions 28 to 507 of the family's 1533-position model. The record is from RNAcentral.